This 551-nucleotide ribosomal RNA is filed under the name Phaeosphaeria sp. RNAcentral's name for it is "eukaryotic LSU rRNA". The stretch from base 195 to 348 matches the Rfam family "5.8S ribosomal RNA". Lineage: Eukaryota; Fungi; Ascomycota; Dothideomycetes; Pleosporales; Phaeosphaeriaceae. The record is from RNAcentral.
GUGGAUCUGUUGCUAAAGACCGUACUGCAAGGAGGCCGUCAGUCUGUAUAGCUUAAUCGCUGAUGAGCAGCUGGUCUCUUUUCUCAACCCUUGUCUUUUGCGCACCCAUGUUUCCUCGGCAGGCUUGCCUGCCGGUUGGACAAUUCUAUAACCUUUUUAAUUUUCAAUCAGCGUCUGAAAAACUUAAUAAUUACAACUUUCAACAACGGAUCUCUUGGUUCUGGCAUCGAUGAAGAACGCAGCGAAAUGCGAUAAGUAGUGUGAAUUGCAGAAUUCAGUGAAUCAUCGAAUCUUUGAACGCACAUUGCGCCCCUUGGUAUUCCAUGGGGCAUGCCUGUUCGAGCGUCAUUUGUACCUUCAAGCUUUGCUUGGUGUUGGGUGUUUGUCCUCUCCCUAGUGUUUGGACUCGCCUUAAAACAAUUGGCAGCCAGUGUUUUGGUAUUGAAGCGCAGCACAAGUCGCGAUUCUAACCCAAUAACACUUGCGUCCAGAAGUCUUUUUUCACUUUUGACCUCGAAUCAGGUAGGGAUACCCGCUGAACUUAAGCAUAU